RNAcentral lists this unclassified non-coding RNA (329 nucleotides) under plant metagenome. RNAcentral's name for it is "partial contains 5.8S ribosomal RNA, internal transcribed spacer 2, and large subunit ribosomal RNA". The stretch from base 1 to 105 matches the Rfam family "5.8S ribosomal RNA", at positions 50 to 154 of the family's 154-position model. The record is from RNAcentral.
GAAAUGCGAUAAGUAAUGUGAAUUGCAGAAUUCCGUGAAUCAUCGAAUCUUUGAACGCACAUUGCGCCCUCUGGUAUUCCGGGGGGCAUGCCUGUCCGAGCGUCAUUGCGAACCCCUCAAGCACGGCUUGUGUGAUGGGCCCUCCCGCGGCUUGGUCGUCAAGACGGGCCCGAAAUGCAGUGGCGGCUUCGCGGUUAUCCGAUCAGCCAGAGCGUAUGGGGACUUUCUCUCUGUCACACGCCCGCGGCGCGGACCGACGCCUGUCGACCUUCAUUCAUCGUUUUCUCGGUUGACCUCGGAUCAGGUAGGGAUACCCGCUGAACUUAAGC